Molecule: ribosomal RNA, 464 nt
Filed under: uncultured Klebsiella sp.
Lineage: Bacteria; Pseudomonadati; Pseudomonadota; Gammaproteobacteria; Enterobacterales; Enterobacteriaceae
Description: bacterial SSU rRNA
Rfam family: Bacterial small subunit ribosomal RNA
Source: RNAcentral
CCUACGGGUGGCUGCAGUGGGGAAUAUUGCACAAUGGGCGCAAGCCUGAUGCAGCCAUGCCGCGUGUGUGAAGAAGGCCUUCGGGUUGUAAAGCACUUUCAGCGGGGAGGAAGGCGUUAAGGUUAAUAACCUUGGCGAUUGACGUUACCCGCAGAAGAAGCACCGGCUAACUCCGUGCCAGCAGCCGCGGUAAUACGGAGGGUGCAAGCGUUAAUCGGAAUUACUGGGCGUAAAGCGCACGCAGGCGGUCUGUCAAGUCGGAUGUGAAAUCCCCGGGCUCAACCUGGGAACUGCAUUCGAAACUGGCAGGCUAGAGUCUUGUAGAGGGAGGUAGAAUUCCAGGUGUAGCGGUGAAAUGCGUAGAGAUCUGGAGGAAUACCGGUGGCGAAGGCGGCCCCCUGGACAAAGACUGACGCUCAGGUGCGAAAGCGUGGGGAGCAAACAGGAUUAAUACCCGGGUAGUC